Molecule: long non-coding RNA, 569 nt
Organism: Cebus imitator (Panamanian white-faced capuchin)
Lineage: Eukaryota; Metazoa; Chordata; Mammalia; Primates; Cebidae
Exons: 3
Source: RefSeq, a predicted model, not a curated record
GUGGGUUUUGCUGCAACUGGUUUAUUUUCCUCCUGUUUUCACCUAUUCUGGCCCAGUCUGGCACCAUUGCCCUUAUUGUGAUGCUGAGCCUAAAAAUGCAAAGCAGAGAGGCAGGGCCAAAAUUGAGGCGAAUCUGGGAGCCUGCCAAUGGGUCUCCAGGUGCUGUCUCUGAAACUGGAGGAUAUCAGGAGGAAGGGUUCUCCCAUAUGGAGAUAAUGGAGAAGCUCUUGGCAUGGUUGGCCAUAGGUAUGUGAUACCAGAGGAGUGGGAGUCAAAUAGGAUAUGCUGACUUUUAAUUCAAGCUACCCUUUUCUGAAACACUUUGCCACAAUGAAGGAAAUAAGGAAUUAUACUCUCAGAGAUGUCAGGAAAAGAUACAUGGAUCUUGGAAGAUAAUUACUCACGAUAUGCAGGGAAGGAAUUAAAUUGAAGGGCAUUUUUCUUAGAGAAUAUCAUUUGGCAUACUUAUUUGAUCAAGAAGUUGAAGAUUUAUAUAAUAAGGGUCUAGUUUGAAGCACUAAGAAGAAUAAGUCAUCAGUUUGAAAAGAGGCUCUAAUAGAGGACACAAA